RNAcentral lists this ribosomal RNA (667 nucleotides) under Acinetobacter baumannii Naval-81. Its description in RNAcentral is "bacterial SSU rRNA". It matches the Rfam family "Bacterial small subunit ribosomal RNA", at positions 55 to 716 of the family's 1533-position model. Lineage: Bacteria; Pseudomonadati; Pseudomonadota; Gammaproteobacteria; Moraxellales; Moraxellaceae. The record is from RNAcentral.
AUGUAAGUCGAGCGGGGGAAGGUAGCUUGCUACCGGACCUAGCGGCGGACGGGUGAGUAAUGCUUAGGAAUCUGCCUAUUAGUGGGGGACAACAUCUCGAAAGGGAUGCUAAUACCGCAUACGUCCUACGGGAGAAAGCAGGGGAUCUUCGGACCUUGCGCUAAUAGAUGAGCCUAAGUCGGAUUAGCUAGUUGGUGGGGUAAAGGCCUACCAAGGCGACGAUCUGUAGCGGGUCUGAGAGGAUGAUCCGCCACACUGGGACUGAGACACGGCCCAGACUCCUACGGGAGGCAGCAGUGGGGAAUAUUGGACAAUGGGGGGAACCCUGAUCCAGCCAUGCCGCGUGUGUGAAGAAGGCCUUAUGGUUGUAAAGCACUUUAAGCGAGGAGGAGGCUACUUUAGUUAAUACCUAGAGAUAGUGGACGUUACUCGCAGAAUAAGCACCGGCUAACUCUGUGCCAGCAGCCGCGGUAAUACAGAGGGUGCGAGCGUUAAUCGGAUUUACUGGGCGUAAAGCGUGCGUAGGCGGCUUAUUAAGUCGGAUGUGAAAUCCCCGAGCUUAACUUGGGAAUUGCAUUCGAUACUGGUGAGCUAGAGUAUGGGAGAGGAUGGUAGAAUUCCAGGUGUAGCGGUGAAAUGCGUAGAGAUCUGGAGGAAUACCGAUGGC